CUAACUUUCGUUCUUGAUUAAUGAAAACAUCCUUGGUAAAUGCUUUCGCAGUAGUUUGUCUUCCAUAAAUCCAAGAAUUUCACCUCUGACAAUUGAAUACAAAUACCCCCAACUAUCCCUAUUAAUCAUUACCCUGGAGUACAAACCUACAAAAUAAGACCAAGGUCUUAUCUUAUUAUUCCACGCUAAUGCAUUCAAAGGCAUAAGCCUGCUUUGAACACCCUAUUUUGCUCACAGUAAAUGACGAGGAUCCCAUACCCAUUAAAUUAAUGACAGAUAUGUUUUCCUCGAGGAUGGUCUCAGACCCUGGUACAUACCUUGUUUGAGGCAGACCGAAAUCCAAGACCAGAAAUUCAACUACGAGCUUUUU
RNAcentral lists this ribosomal RNA (370 nucleotides) under Melosira varians. Its description in RNAcentral is "partial small subunit ribosomal RNA". The record is from RNAcentral. Lineage: Eukaryota; Bacillariophyta; Melosirophyceae; Melosirales; Melosiraceae.